RNAcentral lists this ribosomal RNA (305 nucleotides) under uncultured bacterium. RNAcentral describes it as "bacterial SSU rRNA". It matches the Rfam family "Bacterial small subunit ribosomal RNA", at positions 333 to 634 of the family's 1533-position model. The record is from RNAcentral.
UUUUUCCUACGGGAGGCAGCAGUGAGGAAUAUUGGUCAAUGGGCGAGAGCCUGAACCAGCCAAGUCGCGUGAAGGAUGACGGCCCUACGGGUUGUAAACUUCUUUUGUCAGGGAGCAAUUGGGUCCACGCGUGGGCUUAGCGAGAGUACCUGAAGAAAAAGCAUCGGCUAACUACGUGCCAGCAGCCGCGGUAAUACGUAGGUGGCAAGCGUUAUCCGGAUUUAUUGGGCGUAAAGGGAACGCAGGCGGUCUUUUAAGUCUGAUGUGAAAGCCUUCGGCUUAACCGGAGUAGUGCAUUGGAAACU